RNAcentral lists this unclassified non-coding RNA (489 nucleotides) under uncultured Glomus. Its description in RNAcentral is "SSU rRNA". It matches the Rfam family "Eukaryotic small subunit ribosomal RNA", at positions 569 to 1064 of the family's 1831-position model. Lineage: Eukaryota; Fungi; Glomeromycota; Glomeromycetes; Glomerales; Glomeraceae. The record is from RNAcentral.
AGCAGCCGCGGUAAUUCCAGCUCCAAUAGCGUAUAUUAAAGUUGUUGCAGUUAAAAAGCUCGUAGUUGAAUUUCGGGAUCAAUAUGUUGGUCGUGCCUCGGUACGUACUAGCAUAUUGGUUUCUCCUUUCUGAAGAACCAUGAUGUCAUUUAUUUGGUGUCGUGGGGAAUCAGGACUGUUACUUUGAAAAAAUUAGAGUGUUUAAAGCAGGCUCACGCUUGAAUACAUUAGCAUGGAAUAAUGAAAUAGGACGUUUGAUUCUAUUUUGUUGGUUUCUAGGAUCGACGUAAUGAUUAAUAGGGAUAGUUGGGGGCAUUAGUAUUCAAUUGUCAGAGGUGAAAUUCUUGGAUUUAUUGAAGACUAACUACUGCGAAAGCAUUUGCCAAGGAUGUUUUCAUUAAUCAAGAACGAAAGUUAGGGGAUCGAAGACGAUCAGAUACCGUCGUAGUCUUAACCAUAAACUAUGCCGACUAAGGAUCGGAUGAUGUU